UAGUCCACGCCCUAAACGAUGUGUGCUAGAUGUCGGGGGACUUGUCCCUUGGUGUCGGAGCUAACGUGUUAAGCACACCGCCUGGGGAGUACGGUCGCAAGAUUAAAACUCAAAGGAAUUGACGGGGGCCCGCACAAGCGGUGGAGCAUGUGGUUUAAUUCGACGCAACGCGCAGAACCUUACCAGCUCUUGACAUGAUAGCCGCGGUUCCGAGAGAUCGGUUCUUUCCUUCGGGAGGCUAUUACAGGUGCUGCAUGGCUGUCGUCAGCUCGCGUCGUGAGAUGUUGGGUUAAGUCCCGCAACGAGCGCAACCCUUGCCUUUAGUUGCCAUCGGGUUUGGCCGGGCACUCUAAAGGAACUGCCGGUGGCAAGCCGGAGGAAGGUGGGGAUGACGUCAAGUCCUCACGGCCCUUACGCGUAGGGCUACACACGUGCUACAAUGGUGGCUACAAUGGGAUAAUCCCCAAAAGCCAUCUCAGUUCGGAUUGUCGUCUGCAACUCGACGGCAUGAAGUUGG
Molecule: ribosomal RNA, 517 nt
Filed under: uncultured bacterium
Lineage: Bacteria
Description: bacterial SSU rRNA
Rfam family: Bacterial small subunit ribosomal RNA
Source: RNAcentral